AGUCUAAGUACCAGCUCUCGUACAGUGAAACUGCGAAUGGCUCAUUAAAUCAGUUAUGGUUCAUUUGAUCGUACAGUUUACUUGGAUAACUGUGGUAAUUCUAGAGCUAAUACAUGCGAGAAGCGCCGACCUCGCGGGAGGCGUGCAUUUAUCAGACCAAAAACCGGCCGCGUCUUCGGGCGCGUUCGCCUUGGUGACUCUGGAUAACUUUGCGGAUCGCACGGUCUAGCACCGGCGACGGAUCAUUCAAGUGUCUGCCCUAUCAACUUUCGUCGGUACGGUAUUUGCCUACCGAGGUUCUUACGGGUGACGGGGAAUCAGGGUUCGAUUCCGGAGAGGGAGCCUGAGAAACGGCUACCACAUCCAAGGAAGGCAGCAGGCGCGCAAAUUACCCAUUCCCGACGCGGGGAGGUAGUGACGAAAAAUAACAAUGCAGGACUCGUUCGAGGCCCUGUAAUUGGAAUGAGUACACUUUAAAAGCUUUAACGAGUAUCCAUUGGAGGGCAAGUCUGGUGCCAGCAGCCGCGGUAAUUCCAGCUCCAAAAGUAUAUAUUUAAGUUGUUGCGGUUAAAAAGCUCGUAGUUGGAUUUUGGGCGCAGGCGGCCGGUCCGUCGCAAGGCGUGUACUGGACGUCCUGGCCUUCCCUCCGGUUCUCCGCCGGUGCUCUUGACUGAGUGUCGGCGGCGGCCGGAACGUUUACUUUGAAAAAAUUAGAGUGUUCAAAGCAGGCUCUCGAGCCUGGAUAAUGGUGCAUGGAAUAAUGGAAUAGGACCUCGGUUCUAUUUUGUUGGUUUUCGGAGCGCGAGGUAAUGAUUAAGAGGGACAGACGGGGGCAUUCGUACUGUGCCGUUAGAGGUGAAAUUCUUGGAUCGGCGCAAGACGAACGACUGCGAAAGCAUUUGCCAAGAAUGUUUUCUUUAAUCAAGAGCGAAAGUCAGAGGUUCGAAGACGAUCAGAUACCGUCCUAGUUCUGACUAUAAACGAUGCCAACUAGCGAUCGGGGGGCGUUACAUUGACGACCCCUCCGGCAGCUUACGGGAAACCAAAGUCUUUGGGUUCCGGGGGAAGUAUGGUUGCAAAGCUGAAACUUAAAGGAAUUGACGGAAGGGCACCACCAGGAGUGGAGCCUGCGGCUUAAUUUGACUCAACACGGGAAAUCUCACCCGGCCCGGACACAGUGAGGAUUGACAGAUUGAGAGCUCUUUCUUGAUUCUGUGGGUGGUGGUGCAUGGCCGUUCUUAGUUGGUGGAGCGAUUUGUCUGGUUAAUUCCGAUAACGAACGAGACUC
This 1288-nucleotide ribosomal RNA is filed under the name Mus musculus (house mouse). RNAcentral describes it as "SSU rRNA". It matches the Rfam family "Eukaryotic small subunit ribosomal RNA", at positions 56 to 1343 of the family's 1831-position model. The record is from RNAcentral. Lineage: Eukaryota; Metazoa; Chordata; Mammalia; Rodentia; Muridae.